CCUGCCCAAGAGAUCGGGGAUAACAACCUGGAAACAGAUGCUAAUACCGGAUAACAACAGAUGAUGCCUAUCAACUGUUUAAAAGAUGGUUCUGCUAUCACUCUUGGAUGGACCUGCGGUGCAUUAGCUAGUUGGUAGGGUAACGGCCUACCAAGGCGAUGAUGCAUAGCCGAGUUGAGAGACUGAUCGGCCACAUUGGGACUGAGACACGGCCCAAACUCCUACGGGAGGCAGCAGCC
This 239-nucleotide ribosomal RNA is filed under the name uncultured Lactobacillus sp. RNAcentral's name for it is "partial 16S ribosomal RNA". It matches the Rfam family "Bacterial small subunit ribosomal RNA", at positions 125 to 355 of the family's 1533-position model. The record is from RNAcentral. Lineage: Bacteria; Bacillati; Bacillota; Bacilli; Lactobacillales; Lactobacillaceae.